AAAGAAUUAUACAAACAACAAACAAGGGACCAAUCAGAGCGACAAUAGAAGCCUGUGGCAGUUUUAGUCUUUAUUUACAAAUACCGUCCAAAACAAAACAAAAACAAACAAACAUGUUGACAGAAAUAUAAAAGUCCAACUGGGAGAUUCCCCAGCGGAGGAGCUGAUUUAUUCCCAGACAGCGUCCUGGAGGCAGCUCUUCACCCGCGUCCGCCCGCUUUCAGCACAUGAUCUGCAGCCUGAGUGCGACCUGACCCGGCACAGCUCAGCUGCAGCGCCAGCACCGUGUUCUGCUCAAUCCCAGUCGCUGUGAAGCCGCCAGCGAUGUGUUUGCACUGGUCUGAGGUGAACUGGGAGCCAGUCGGAGCCACAGUGGAGAGAUCUACUCAGUGUCUGGAUACACAUUUAUUCCUUUUGUGGACGUGGCGCGUGAUUCAGAGACUGGUACAACUCAUCCCACACUGGAAUCCUGAGCCAAGAACUGCCUCUGCCAUGGCAGCGCAUCAGGUACCACAGAGGAGCACCACACAUCUAAUUUCCUGCAAAAUCUUACUGCAACAAAAGCCUUGUGGAGCGUCGGUUCUCACAGCAUCGGGGCAAUCGGUUCAAGUCACUGGCACAAAUACAAUCUUUCAUCUUGUUCGGGAGCAGGCUUUUGAAUUAGCUGCGUGGCGUGACUCCCUGUCAGGCUGGCAGGCGCAGAGCUCAUGUUUUAGAAAGUGGGAUGGGAGAGGCAAGAGAUGACACGAUCAAUUACAUCAGCAAAAAGCUUGCAGAAGGUGUUAAAAUGUGCUUUUGUGAGUGCUACACCUGGAUGAAGGCAGCCGAGCGAGGCUGUGGAGCUGUCAGCACCAUGGACAGCACCUCGCACGCUUCGCUACAGCUGCACAUCUGAUUACUGUGAUAUGUUUCAUCUAUUACUGAGCAGUAAACUCAAGAAUAAAAAAGGUUUAAUUAAAGAAAUGAAUGUUAAA
RNAcentral lists this long non-coding RNA (974 nucleotides) under Betta splendens (Siamese fighting fish). RNAcentral describes it as "lncRNA (ENSBSLG00000017798.1)". The record is from RNAcentral. Lineage: Eukaryota; Metazoa; Chordata; Actinopteri; Anabantiformes; Osphronemidae.